CUGUCGUCGAGGGGGAGGGAUCAACAUUGACAGUCAUCUGUUUUUCAGGAAAUUUCAGCUUGCCUUUAUGAAUUUAGCUUUGAAUAACAUCACGGAACACAACGUAGUUGUUUGUGGUAUGCUUAUUCGAGUUAUGGUACUUGCAAUACAUUUUUCCUUUCAACUCUUCGACCUUAGGAAUGUUGUGUCCUGGCCAAAGUUUGAUGAUCUUUGCCAGUAACAACUGGUCGAAAAUUGCAUCGACCUUGGUGAUAUCAAAAAGUGUAAACUUUUGAUGUUUUAACUGCCUCUUAGAGGCUAAGCGGGUUUUGGCAUCCUUGGAAUUCAUUUGAGCUAAUGCCUUACAAACGUACGGCUUAUCUGUCACUAUCUCAGCCGCGUCCACAUUAACAUAUUGGGAAUCUUCGCCUUCGGCCAAUGCGUAGCUAACUCUAGAAUUUUUGUAAAUUGUUCCCCAGGAUGGUGACUUUGAGAUCUUUUCCUCUCGAAGUAGAUAAUCAUAU
Molecule: long non-coding RNA, 503 nt
Filed under: Malus domestica (apple)
Lineage: Eukaryota; Viridiplantae; Streptophyta; Magnoliopsida; Rosales; Rosaceae
Description: long non-coding RNA (MDOM_LNC002790)
Source: RNAcentral